CGUAUCACUUAAAGCGAUUCAGCGGAUGACGAUUGACGGAGCGAAGCGACGUCAAAGCGUUUUACAACGUCGAGUCGGUUUAAGGAUACGUUCGUUGGGUAGGGGAGCGUUCUGUAAGCCUGCGAAGGUGGCCUGUGAGGGUUGCUGGAGGUAUCAGAAGUGCGAAUGCUGACAUAAGUAACGAUAAAGCGGGUGAAAAGCCCGCUCGCCGGAAGACCAAGGGUUCCUGUCCAACGUUAAUCGGGGCAGGGUGAGUCGACCCCUAAGGCGAGGCCGAAAGGCGUAGUCGAUGGGAAACAGGUUAAUAUUCCUGUACCUGGUGUUACUGCGAAGGGGGGACGGAGAAGGCUAUGUUGGCCGGGCGACGGUUGUCCCGGUUUAAGCGUGCAGGUGUGUGUUCCAGGAAAAUCCGGUUCACUUUAACACUGAGGCGUGACGACGAGGCACUACGGUGCUGAAGCAACAAAUGCCCUGCUUCCAGGAAAAGCCUCUAAGCCUCAGGUAACAUCAGAUCGUACCCGAAACCGACACAGGUGGUCAGGUAGAGAAUACCAAGGCGCUUGAGAGAACCCGGGUGAAGGAACUAGGCAAAAUGGUGCCGUAACUUCGGGAGAAGGCACGCUGACACGUAGGUGAAGCGGUUUACCCGUGAAGCCGAAGUCAGUCGAAGAUACCAGCUGGCUGCAACUGUUUAUUAAAAACACAGCACUGUGCAAACACGAAAGUGGACGUAUACGGUGUGACGCCUGCCCGGUGCCGGAAGGUUAAUUGAUGGGGUCAGCGCAAGCGAAGCUCCUGAUCGAAGCCCCGGUAAACGGCGGCCGUAACUAUAACGGUCCUAAGGUAGCGAAAUUCCUUGUCGGGUAAGUUCCGACCUGCACGAAUGGCGUAAUGAUGGCCAGGCUGUCUCCACCCGGGACUCAGUGAAAUUGAACUCGCUGUGAAGAUGCAGUGUACCCGCGGCAAGACGGAAAGACCCCGUGAACCUUUACUAUAGCUUGACACUGAACACUGGUCCUUGAUGUGCAGGAUAGGUGGGAGGCUUUGAAGUGUGGACGCCAGUCUGCAUGGAGCCGUCCUUGAAAUACCACCCUUUAAUGGCUGGUGUUCUAACGUAGACCCGUGAACCGGGUUGCGGACAGUGUCUGGUGGGUAGUUUGACUGGGGCGGUCUCCUCCUAAAGCGUAACGGAGGAGCACGAAGGUUGGCUAAUCCUGGUCGGACAUCAGGAGGUUAGUGCAAUGGCAUAAGCCAGCUUGACUGCGAGCGUGACGGCGCGAGCAGGUGCGAAAGCAGGUCAUAGUGAUCCGGUGGUUCUGAAUGGAAGGGCCAUCGCUCAACGGAUAAAAGGUACUCCGGGGAUAACAGGCUGAUACCGCCCAAGAGUUCAUAUCGACGGCGGUGUUUGGCACCUCGAUGUCGGCUCAUCACAUCCUGGGGCUGAAGUAGGUCCCAAGGGUAUGGCUGUUCGCCAUUUAAAGUGGUACGCGAGCUGGGUUUAGAACGUCGUGAGACAGUUCGGUCCCUAUCUGCCGUGGGCGCUGGAGAACUGAGGGGGGCUGCUCCUAGUACGAGAGGACCGGAGUGGACGCAUCACUGGUGUUCGGGUUGUCAUGCCAAUGGCACUGCCCGGUAGCUAAAUGCGGAAGAGAUAAGUGCUGAAAGCAUCUAAGCACGAAACUUGCCCCGAGAUGAGUUCUCCCUGAGACUACAAGUCUCCUGAAGGAACGUUGAAGACGACGACGUUGAUAGGCCGGGUGUGUAAGCGCAGCGAUGCGUUGAGCUAACCGGUACUAAUGAACCGUGAGGCUUAACCUUACA
RNAcentral lists this ribosomal RNA (1821 nucleotides) under Salmonella enterica subsp. enterica serovar Cerro. Its description in RNAcentral is "partial 23S ribosomal RNA". It matches the Rfam family "Bacterial large subunit ribosomal RNA", at positions 1187 to 2925 of the family's 2925-position model. Lineage: Bacteria; Pseudomonadati; Pseudomonadota; Gammaproteobacteria; Enterobacterales; Enterobacteriaceae. The record is from RNAcentral.